GCCCUCACCCCCCUGGUGUCUGUGUCCAUUGCAUUGGUUAUGCUUAUAUGCAUGCAUACAAGUCCUUUGGUUGAUCUCCUGAGGGAUUUUCUAAUCCUUUGAGCAAUGAAGGACUGGAAUGUGGAAUAACAAGUGAUAAAAAUACGCCCACAAUCAAAGGCACCUGGUCAAAGAAACACCCACGCCCCGUCAGUGGAGUAAAGGCAGGAAGUGGAGUUUAUGAAUAUGGCAGGUAUCAGGUGAUGACUAAGAUUGAAAUGGAGCUAAUCCUGGAAGUAUCCUCAAGUUAAAAUCCUAAGGCUCUGAAGGCGUCUAAAUAAGCUAGCUGACAAAACAAAUGUUCUGGAAAAAAAAAAAUCAGGAAAUCUCUCUCGUAAAAAAAAAAAAAAAAAAAAAGCCUUUGUUGCCAACCGUAUGCACCUGCUGGCAGGUGGAGAAGGCAGAUGCUUAGAGUUUCUCAGGAGUGUGUCUGAGUUAGACUUCCUCAUGUCUUCUCUCAUACAGUUUAAACUUGGAAUCAUGUUCAGAGAGUGAUUUGCCAGGGCUAAGUAUGCCUAACUGUCUAGGGCCAUGAAAUGGAACCUCGCCAACUGGCCCUUACUGGAACAGUGAACUUGGACUCUGGCCACUCAGCCAGUCAGCUAUUGACCUGCCAACACAAAUAAACUUCAACAUUCACCUUCAUUUUAGAACUCUGGCAUUAUAGUAUAGAUGGUGCAAGUGAAGAAGAAUAACAAAAGAGGAUUCAUCGAGCCCUCAGUGUGCUGGUUACAAUUCUAAGCUCUUUACAGUAGUCAUUUAAAAAUGCAAACAAGGUG
Long non-coding RNA from Myotis lucifugus (little brown bat), 818 nucleotides. RefSeq lists it as uncharacterized. The record is from RefSeq and is a predicted model, not a curated record. Lineage: Eukaryota; Metazoa; Chordata; Mammalia; Chiroptera; Vespertilionidae. The transcript is spliced from 3 exons.